UCAGGUUCCUAAAUAACUAUACAGAAAUCUACAAUUGAUGGUUCCUUAAUAACUAUACAGAAAUCUACAAUUGAUGAUAUUUUUAUAGCAAAGCUGAUAAAACAUUUAGCACGAUGACUAUGUAAGGUAGAAUAAGAAAGUGAGAUACUCUCAGAUCAGUUUUUAAAGUUAUAUUAAAGAAGCGAACAGUUUCUAAACAAAUUAAUAGCCUUCUGUUUAACUCAUGUGCACAGUCAACUAAAGAAAAACAUGAUUUACAAUGAACUAAAGUUUGCAUGUAUAUAAAUAAUUCGAUACUAUUAUCUUAGUAAUUAUCAAUCACCGGCAACUGGUUCAGGAAAAGUUACCACUUCUUCCAUAUUCAUAGCGAAAGGCCUCUCCUUGAUCGAGUUGCUGCAUUUAUUUGAAGGUAUCUAUUCAACAAGGCACGUAUUAUAAGUUAUAGCUCCCACAUCUAAAACUUGCAAACACGAGACGAUAAAAACAGCACAAAAAUCAGGAGAUUGAGAAUUUUUCGUAAUUAAAGCAGAUUUGACAUAGAAAAACUUUAUGAAAGCCGAUUUCAUCAAUUAAAAGUAAGAAGAAUCGAGACUGAUAAAAUGAUAGGAGGGAAAAACUCGUAUCAAAAUAGUUUACCUUAACUUUGUAGAAUUAAACGCCCAAAUUUCCAGAGUUUCUUUGGCUCUAUUUGUUGGUGGGGAUCACCAAAAGCCCCAAG
This 718-nucleotide long non-coding RNA is filed under the name Olea europaea (common olive). Its description in RNAcentral is "long non-coding RNA (OEUR_LNC011357)". The record is from RNAcentral. Lineage: Eukaryota; Viridiplantae; Streptophyta; Magnoliopsida; Lamiales; Oleaceae.